This is a long non-coding RNA of Talpa occidentalis (Iberian mole), 2536 nucleotides long. RefSeq lists it as uncharacterized. NCBI's taxonomy places the organism in Eukaryota, Metazoa, Chordata, Mammalia, Eulipotyphla, Talpidae. The transcript is spliced from 3 exons. The record is from RefSeq and is a predicted model, not a curated record.
UUAAAAAAAGAGAAUGUGGAAACUGGGGCUCCCAAAGAGGCAAGAAAUUUGUCAAGGACAUCCAGCCAGUUUAUGGCAGGGCAGGGAUUAAGCCUAGGCAUUCUAGCUCUGGAACACAUGUUUAACCCACUGUGCCAUCUGACCAUCUGCUUGUAGCCCCCUUCAUGGCUACACUCCUUGGGAUGCGGUAGGAGUGCCAUCUUCCCUUGUUUUGUUUGCACUGAGUGGCAGAGCUCUGGAUAUUCUCUGAUACCCUGGAUUAUUGAUGAUACCUGGUCUGGUGUUAUUUUCAUUUUGAUACAGGCCAUAGUUGUCCAGGAGGUAUGGCUUGAGCUGCCUAAAAACCUCCUUGCUGAGCUUCAAAUGAAUGAAUCCUCAGGUCUGUUUUCAGGAAACCACUGCCAGUAUUGCUUUGGACACCUCUAUCCUCUAGUAUGUUUGGAAGUAUGUGGGGCAUCUCAUCAUGUCACUAAGCCCGUGAGAGCCUUGUCCCUUGCCCAUGGGUGUGCCACUUGGUCCCAGCACCAAGCUGCAUCACCUUCGAUUAGCAGCCUGCUGGGGAAAAGGGCUUGAGGAAGAACUCCCUGGCAGUCCUGACUUGUCUCAUUUCCCAAUACUUUUAUCUGUCACUGCAAGCGCUUGGGCUCCCCUCCUGAACUAAUUAAGUUUGCAUGUGUUUAGACACAUUGCCAAAUAGGGCUUAGCAAAGCGGAACUGAGCUACAUCUCUUUCUGAGUAGGAAGGAAGGGUGUAUGAAUGCUCCUCCACCCGGGCCAGGGAGAAGCAUGGGUGACAUGAAGUGGCUCUGUGUGCAGGUGAUUGGCAUUCUGCCCUGACCCUCCUGGGGAUGCAGCAGCUGGCAAACCUUCCCAUUGGCUGGCAGGGGCCAGGUGAGGGCCCACCCUCCAGCUCUCCUAGCAAUUUCGGUAUUCUAAGACUUCUGAAAGAGAGCAGGAAAGAAAGAGAGAGAGCAGGCUCUAAAGUGUGAUUUUUCUCACAAACUCAAGCAAAACCAAAUGCUAAAUUUAGUGGGAUUUGCAGGGAGCAUUUUUAGGGUUUUGUGCUGUUUGCUGCCCACCUGACUUACCGAGAUCCCAGACCUCAAAUGUCCUCUGUGACUGAGAGAUCGCGGGGUAUCCCCUUUUUAAGUCUGUGAGAAGUACAGUGGGAACUUGUACAACUGAAGUCUCUCCAUUUUGCCUAGAAGAACCCCAGUUCCUCCUCUUCAGACUCAUCAAUUUGUGAGCUGGUGCCAGGGUUGGCAGGGAGGAAGGGGUUAUUACACAAAUGAGACUAGUAUUGUGCAGGAUCUCCUCACCCUGGAGGUUUGGGGUUCAGCCUGAAGGAUCCCCAUUGUGAUCUGUUGGCUGACAGCGUGUUGCCAUGUCAGACUGGUGCCUGCCUUUUCCCUAGUGCUGGGUGACCUGUGGUCUGAGAUGCCCUGAGUGGGGGUCUUUCUUACAGAAAGGAGGACAUCCAGCUGAGGGCCAUGGUCAGGGCCUCAGUCCUAUAACUCUGAGGCCAUGGGUCAUCUUCUGGCCAUAAAGAGGUUCUUGAUGGGCAAGUGUGGCUUGGAGUCAGGCCAGGCUCACAGUGCACGCAAACUCUUUCUCCUCGGGAAUACUGUUGGAAACUGCCACGGAAGGUGGAGCCACAGCAGAGCUUGAAGUGCUGGCAUUCCAGCAGUAGCCUAAGGCUCCAGCAAGUGUAUCAUCUUUCUGAAGUCUGUGGUUGGAAUUGUAACCUGCAGCCGUCCCAGAGGAUGGGGGCAAGUGUGGGGGCAAAGUGGGCUGAGAAGUCGGCAGUGCAUUCUCCCAGGGCCGUGGGCAGGCGGAAAAGGGAAGGAGUGUGUGUGUGUGUGUGUGUGUGUGUGUGUGUGCACUUGAGCAAAGGAGACUGAAGCUGAGUCUUUGUAAGUGUGCUCCACAAUUACCCUCCCAGCACCAGAAACGAGAUGGCCUUUCUCAGUAGUCCCUCCAAGAGGGGUCAUUAUGUUUCAUGAUGUGGUUAUCUUCUGGGUGGGCACCAAGACCAUAGGAAUCAGAUUUGAUUGAGGGUCCUGGGUUUCAGUGGGUUUCAGAGGGACCCUUGAGGGUCCUGGGUUUCAGUGAUUUGCAUCAAUAGGUGGUGGCAGUUGAAGUAGAAAGUUCUCCCAUUUUGUGUCUAGACUGAGGGUUGGCUUUUGUUCCCUGGUAUUUGUAUGCUGAUUCUUUGGAUUUGGCACCUCCAACGUGUCCCCUCCUUCCUCAACUCCUCUCCUUAUCCCCGACUUCUUUGAGUUCAUUUUUGCAAGUGUUGAGUGCUUCUGGAACUUUCUCUUUGCCUACAAAGCUUCCUCAGCCUCCUUUUCCUGACUAAGACACAGUCUCCUCAAUACAGGUGGCCUAGAAGCAUCUCUAAAGGCUGUUGCAGGUUUGGUCUUGGCUAAUCUCAUUAUAACCAGUACCCUUUCUUUUGAGUGCUUAUUUAUAAAAUAUGUUUCCCUUGGCUGACUCGUUUAACCUUCACAGAACAGGGCAUAGAGGUGAUAUGACUC